CUCCCACCUCACACAGAGCUUGUGACCAGCGUGAAUGUGAACAAUGGAUAAAGGAAAGGAAAAGAUGACCCUCAGUGGAACAAUUUCAAGACGUAACUAAGAUUGUGAAUGCCUACAAGAAAAUGAACCUCAAGGUCUCAACAAGACUAGUUCAUGGGCUACUUAAAUAAGAAUAGAGAUGCACAAAUGAGAUGGCCACCAGCAGAACGUCAAACCAGUUUAAGUUCCUUUCAGAUCAAGCUACUGUUGUGAUCCUGAAGCACCUUCAAUUAUUCCAAAAGACUGAAGUAGGAAGCGAGAAGAGAGCGCAGCCUGGAUGGUGGGUGCCAUUGAUGAUGGAAGGAUGGCCUGGAUGGUUUAUUGUGGCAUAAAAGCAUAUUCUUUGCUAAUUGCAACUCCCGAUCUCAGGCACUGUUCACUGUAGGUAAACCAUUUUCUUGGCCAUGAGCCUCUGAUCUGAACUUUGGUGAAAGUGUCACAACAUCCCACAGACCAUGAUUCUUGUAGAAAAUCCACCCUUCUGGUCCCAAACAUUGAUGAAGCCUCGAUUUCUCUUGAUGAAGAUUCCACCUAAAACCUCCUAGUGGUGUUGUUCAGUUCUGAUGGAUGAGGACUGGGGCCUGGAAUUAUGUCACCAGAAGCCAGUCUUCAAG
This is a long non-coding RNA of Mobula hypostoma (lesser devil ray), 653 nucleotides long. RefSeq lists it as uncharacterized. The transcript has 3 exons. The record is from RefSeq and is a predicted model, not a curated record. Lineage: Eukaryota; Metazoa; Chordata; Chondrichthyes; Myliobatiformes; Myliobatidae.